This is a small nucleolar RNA of Salvia miltiorrhiza (redroot sage), 81 nucleotides long. RefSeq annotates it as small nucleolar RNA snoR14. The transcript has a single exon. Lineage: Eukaryota; Viridiplantae; Streptophyta; Magnoliopsida; Lamiales; Lamiaceae. The record is from RefSeq and is a predicted model, not a curated record.
GCGAGAUGACGAUGAAAUUCAUGUCUGUCAAUCCACUGAUUUUUGUGAUGUUAGAAGUGAAUCCCGACAGGUUCUGAUCGC